RNAcentral lists this ribosomal RNA (490 nucleotides) under uncultured bacterium. RNAcentral describes it as "partial 16S ribosomal RNA". It matches the Rfam family "Bacterial small subunit ribosomal RNA", at positions 28 to 507 of the family's 1533-position model. The record is from RNAcentral.
GAUGAACGCUAGCUACAGGCUUAACACAUGCAAGUCGAGGGGCAGCAUGGUCUUAGCUUGCUAAGGCCGAUGGCGACCGGCGCACGGGUGAGUAACACGUAUCCAACCUGCCGUCUACUCUUGGACAGCCUUCUGAAAGGAAGAUUAAUACAAGAUGGCAUCAUGAGUCCGCAUGUUCACAUGAUUAAAGGUAUUCCGGUAGACGAUGGGGAUGCGUUCCAUUAGAUAGUAGGCGGGGUAACGGCCCACCUAGUCUUCGAUGGAUAGGGGUUCUGAGAGGAAGGUCCCCCACAUUGGAACUGAGACACGGUCCAAACUCCUACGGGAGGCAGCAGUGAGGAAUAGUGGUCAAGGGGCGCAGGCCUGAACCAGCCAAGUAGCGUGAAGGAUGACUGCCCUAUGGGUUGUAAACUUCUUUUAUAAAGGAAUAAAGUCGGGUAUGUAUACCCGUUUGCAUGUACUUUAUGAAUAAGGAUCGGCUAACUCCGUG